AAUUUCAUGCAUUUUUACUCACCCUUGUCCCAACCCCUCCUUGACAUGGAGUACUCUUGCUCUGGAGGAGGUGGCAGGUCAGUUUCUAAUUUCCUCUGUUGAACUGGAAGGAACACAACAGACCUUAUUUGCAACAUUAUAAACUGUGGGAGCUGAGAAAAUGACUAAUCUCUAUUUUGCCUAACUUGGAUCUAAGGCAUGAGGGAAAAGUGAUGCAACUCAGAUCUCAGGUAAGGAGAACUACCUGAUGCUGCCAGGAAAUCGGCAAGGAGACUAAAACCUGCAGAUCCUGGGGAAAGCCAUUAUGAGUGAAGACACACAACAGACCACAUAAAGCUCCAGGUAAAAGCUGAGGUCCUUUUUCUCAGGAGGGGUACACUCUCUGAUGACAGUCAGAAAUUUAAAAACUAUUUUGAAUUUUUCCCUUUUUUGGAUGAAGAUAAUGCGGAGGAAGUGAUGUCAGCAGAAACUUAUACAUUAAAGAAACUCUCGGAUGUGUUUCAUGACUGUCAAAGCACAAAGGAUAAAACAUUGGAAGUUGAUCCAAAUUUAGAAAGGAG
Molecule: long non-coding RNA, 560 nt
Filed under: Equus caballus (horse)
Lineage: Eukaryota; Metazoa; Chordata; Mammalia; Perissodactyla; Equidae
Description: lncRNA (ENSECAG00000058858.1)
Source: RNAcentral